UAUCAGAAGUGCGAAUGCUGACAUGAGUAACGAUAAUGGGAGUGAAAAACUCCCACGCCGGAAGACCAAGGGUUCCUAUCCCAUGUUAAUCAGGGUAGGGUAAGUCGACCCCUAAGGCGAGGCCGAAAGGCGUAGUCGAUGGGAAACAGAUUAAUAUUUCUGUACUCGAUAUAAUUGCGAUGGGGGGACGGAGCAGGCUAAACAAGCAUGGCGUUGGUAGUCCAUGUGAAAGUGAGUAGGUUGGCGACUUAGGUAAAUCCGGGUUGCUAUUAAGACUGAGACACGAGACGAGUCACUACGGUGAUGAAGUUGUUGAUGCCAUACUUCCAGGAAAAGCCUCUAAGCUUCAGAUUAUAUGGAAUCGUACCCCAAACCGACACAGGUGGUCAGGUAGAGAAUACUAAGGCGCUUGAGAGAACUCGGGUGAAGGAACUAGGCAAAAUCGUACCGUAACUUCGGGAGAAGGUACGCUCCUAUCUGUGAUGAGACUUGCUCUCUAAGCGGACGGGAGCCGCAGUGACCAGGUGGCUGGGACUGUUUAUUAAAAACACAGCACUGUGCAAAAUCGCAAGAUGACGUAUACGGUGUGACACCUGCCCGGUGCCGGAAGGUUAAUUGAUGGGGUUAUCCUUAGGGAGAAGCUCUUGAUCGAAGCCCCGGUAAACGGCGGCCGUAACUAUAACGGUCCUAAGGUAGCGAAAUUCCUUGUCGGGUAAGUUCCGACCUGCACGAAUGGUGUAACCAUGGCCACGCUGUCUCCACCCGAGACUCAGUGAAAUUGAAAUCGCAGUGAAGAUGCUGUGUACCCGCGGCUAGACGGAAAGACCCCGUGAACCUUUACUACAGCUUGGCACUGAACAUUGAACCUACAUGUGUAGGAUAGGUGGGAGACUUUGAAGCAGCGACGCUAGUUGUUGUGGAGUCAACCUUGAAAUACCACCCUUGUAGUUUUGAUGUUCUAACGUUGGCCCCUGAAUCGGGGUUACGGACAGUGCCUGGUGGGUAGUUUGACUGGGGCGGUCUCCUCCUAAAGAGUAACGGAGGAGCACGAAGGUUGGCUAAGUACGGUCGGACAUCGUACGGUUAGUGUAAUGGUAGAAGCCAGCUUAACUGCGAGACAGACACGUCGAGCAGGUACGAAAGUAGGUCAUAGUGAUCCGGUGGUUCUGAAUGGAAGGGCCAUCGCUCAACGGAUAAAAGGUACUCCGGGGAUAACAGGCUGAUACCGCCCAAGAGUUCAUAUCGACGGCGGUGUUUGGCACCUCGAUGUCGGCUCAUCACAUCCUGGGGCUGAAGUCGGUCCCAAGGGUAUGGCUGUUCGCCAUUUAAAGUGGUACGCGAGCUGGGUUUAGAACGUCGUGAGACAGUUCGGUCCCUAUCUGCCGUGGGCGUUUGAGAAUUGAGAGGGGUUGCUCCUAGUACGAGAGGACCGGAGUGAACGAACCGCUGGUGUUCGGGUUGUCAUGCCAAUGGCAUUGCCCGGUAGCUACGUUCGGAACUGAUAAGCGCUGAAAGCAUCUAAGCGCGAAGCAGGCCUCGAGAUGAGUUCUCACUAGACUUUUAAAGUCUCUGAAGGGCCGUUGAAGACUACAACGUUGAUAGGCAAGAUGUGGAAGUGGUGUGAGCCAUUAAGCUAACUUGUACUAAUUACCCGUGAGGCUUAACCAU
Molecule: ribosomal RNA, 1668 nt
Filed under: Pseudoalteromonas haloplanktis ANT/505
Lineage: Bacteria; Pseudomonadati; Pseudomonadota; Gammaproteobacteria; Alteromonadales; Pseudoalteromonadaceae
Description: bacterial LSU rRNA
Rfam family: Bacterial large subunit ribosomal RNA
Source: RNAcentral